GCUCCAGUGGAAUUGUGCCCCCUUAUGCCAGGGCUGAAUUUGUUCCAUUGGUAUUAGUAAGGACAGCUCAUACUGUACCUACUUGGAAUCAUAUUUCUCCUUGAACACGGAAAUUUGCUUUAUAACUGACUCGUUUACAUUUAGAAAAUGGGAAGGAGAAAAGAAGCAACUGAAGACUCCAACUGAGGCUCCAACCUGCAGCAUUGCCGACUUUGCCAGAUCCCUUCUAAAGAUUCAUUCAGCAUUCUUUGGAGCAUCAAGUCUUGGCCAGCCCUGGAGAAGAACUUCUUAGUCAGCUGGGAAACAAAGGCUGCCUUCAGUGAACUAAGACCCAAAUUGUGGGCCUGCAUCCUGCAACCUGAAAGACACAACUGUUACACUUCCAGGAGCCUCCGAAGUCAGCGAGGAGAGUUCCCCAGUGACCCAUUAACAACAGAUUUUUAUGGAAAAGAAGCAUGGUUAAACUGGUGAAAAUAACUGUGCACAAGUCAUAAUAGCUCUCCAUUUGCAGAAGAGCUUGGGAGACUUGGCCUGGCAGGCGACCUGCACUCUGCACACCUGGCUAGCCAUAAGG
Molecule: long non-coding RNA, 574 nt
Organism: Trachemys scripta elegans
Lineage: Eukaryota; Metazoa; Chordata; Testudines; Emydidae
Exons: 4
Source: RefSeq, a predicted model, not a curated record